GGAAAGGUGCUCGAGUGGUUGAAGAGGCACGCCUGGAAAGCGUGUAUACGUCAAAAGCGUAUCGGGGGUUCGAAUCCCCCUCUUUCCG
This 88-nucleotide transfer RNA is filed under the name Bacteroidaceae bacterium. Its description in RNAcentral is "tRNA-Ser". It matches the Rfam family "tRNA". From Rfam's summary of the family: Transfer RNA (tRNA) molecules are approximately 80 nucleotides in length. Their secondary structure includes four short double-helical elements and three loops (D, anti-codon, and T loops). Further hydrogen bonds mediate the characteristic L-shaped molecular structure. tRNAs have two regions of fundamental functional importance: the anti-codon, which is responsible for specific mRNA codon recognition, and the 3' end, to which the tRNAs corresponding amino acid is attached (by aminoacyl-tRNA synthetases). tRNAs cope with the degeneracy of the genetic code in two manners: having more than one tRNA (with a specific anti-codon) for a particular amino acid; and 'wobble' base-pairing, i.e. permitting non-standard base-pairing at the 3rd anti-codon position. The record is from RNAcentral. Lineage: Bacteria; Pseudomonadati; Bacteroidota; Bacteroidia; Bacteroidales; Bacteroidaceae.